UUUUACUCAGUUUUACUAAUUUUUUCUGUUGUUUCGUCUCCUCUUCAUAUUAUCAGAGACACAGAGAAGAAACGUUUCAGAGAAGAAAUCCCGGACGAAACGGGUCUUAUGAAUUGAUCAGAUAUCACAAGAGGUCCAGCGGCUUCUGUUAUCGCUGAGAAUCCUUACAUAUGCCCAGCGAGAGGGAAACUGCACUUAGUGCUGAUUGACGUGACACCAGUUGCUAAAGAUGAGAGCGCUCUGAAUGUCCUGCCAACUCUGCUUCCCCCAUCCAUCUACAAGAGAGGAGGAAUAGUCUUCAGACCGACAUCAGAGGAGUCCCGGAGGUCAUUUAUUGACAUGCAGACUGAUCUAAUGAGUUGAUUUGACUCAUGAGUGGACCCCUCAGUUUCAAGCAUCCUUCUAACUCUCUGGAUCUCAGAAGGGAUGGAGAGACCGCUGCUUGAAGAAAACCUGCUCCAGGGUGCAUGUUACCCGAGACUGGGGCGGCAGUUCACUUUUCAGCACCAUAAUGACCCGAAGCAUACGGCCAAGACAACACUGGAGUGGAGUCCAAACAUGUCUCUGACUGAGCUUGAGCGGACCAGCCAAAGUCCUGACUGGAACAUCUGUGGAGAGACCUGAAGAUGGCAGUUCACACAUGCUUCCCAUCCAAUCUGAUGGAGCUUGAGAAGAUCUGUCAGGAAGAAUGGGAUAAACUGUCCAAAUCCAGAUGCGAGUGUUGCUGGACAAGGUGACAGGAUAAGAAAGUACCUGAGUUUCAACACUGAGCAGGAAACCUGGGUUGCAAGGACAGUGUCGCCAUCCUCCUCCAAAAACUUCAGCGCACUCAGCCACUAUCUCCCACAAUGCAUUACAAGGGUCUCACUGAGGAGCGUGCAUGCUUCCUUUAUCUGCAAGACAGGAUUCCAGACAUUCUGGUUGCCUUGCCUGACGUUGGGCUGACCAUGAGCAAAUUCCUCCCGCCUGGAUACCACCCUGCUGUUACAGUCACCAUGUUGUUCACGAGGCAGAGAGGGUCCUCUGCUGUCAGGUCAGCAUGCUGAGGCUGUGACUGCAGGCUUUGCUCUAAGCUCUUGCCACUUAUUUGCAAAUCGUCACCUGAUGCCUAGGAGUAAAGUCAAUGUGUGUGACUAUUCAGUGUCCUUUCACAUUGUGCUGUCAACAGCAUGUGCAUUGACCCGAGAAAUGUUACCUUGUGCACACAGUGUCUCGACAGCAAUAGAAGUCCGUUGCUGUGCCGUGUUCAGGUCUUUGUCAUAGCAAACAUGUUGAAAUGUCCCAGCAGGAAAAGCACAGGUGUAAAUUAUAUAAUGAAAGAUGGCCGAAUUCCAUUUAGCUGCUUCAGUUUCAGGGUCCUUGUGUUUUGUUCAUGCUGGCUCACUGGAAUGCUUAAAUUCAGCUGAGACAUUGUUGUUAUUGACACCUGUGCUUUUACUGUUAUACUUGCUGUAAAAACGGCCAAUAGGUCAUUAAGUUUCCCAAGAACUUCACUUAAUUACUUUCACAGGCCUCUACCUCUUUACUAGGGGCUUUAAAAUCCCUGAGCAAAUCUCCAAGGGGUCACAUGUUGAAUCUGACAUUUAUAUGACAGGAAAGAAGAAAAAUACAGUUCUACUACACAAACUUACUUCACUCAAAUCUUUUCUUGCCUUUGUGUAUUUUUAAAGAGAAAUUCAGUCUUUGGUGGGACUACUCAUGCACUAUGCAUCCUGUGAUGACGGGU
Seriola aureovittata is the source of this 1726-nucleotide long non-coding RNA. RefSeq lists it as uncharacterized. The transcript has 6 exons. The record is from RefSeq and is a predicted model, not a curated record. NCBI's taxonomy places the organism in Eukaryota, Metazoa, Chordata, Actinopteri, Carangiformes, Carangidae.